GACGAACGCUGGCGGCGUGCUUAACACAUGCAAGUCGAACGAUGAAGCCCUUUCGGGGGUGGAUUAGUGGCGAACGGGUGAGUAACACGUGGGUAACCUGCCCUGUACCCUGGGAUAAGCCUUGGAAACGAGGUCUAAUACCGGAUAUGACCUGCUCUCGCAUGGGGGUGGGUGGAAAGUUUUGGCGGUGCAGGAUGGACCCGCGGCCUAUCAGCUUGUUGGUGGGGUGAUGGCCUACCAAGGCGACGACGGGUAGCCGGCCUGAGAGGGCGACCGGCCACACUGGGACUGAGACACGGCCCAGACUCCUACGGGAGGCAGCAGUGGGGAAUAUUGCACAAUGGGCGAAAGCCUGAUGCAGCGACGCCGCGUGAGGGAUGACGGCCUCGGUUGUAAC
RNAcentral lists this ribosomal RNA (397 nucleotides) under uncultured bacterium. RNAcentral describes it as "bacterial SSU rRNA". It matches the Rfam family "Bacterial small subunit ribosomal RNA", at positions 28 to 429 of the family's 1533-position model. The record is from RNAcentral.